GGGGAGGCGUGAGUCAUGCAGGGGACGGUUCGGCAAGUGUGAGUUUCCACUCAAAUAAUCUCGAUACUGAAAGAGGGAUGGAAAAAAAGCAUAUGAGUAGUCAAAUUCGUGCCAACAAAAUCAGUAAGAACAGGCGUGAAAUGGAUGAUGAAAUUCCGCCGACAGCCCCUGACGGUUAGGCAAUCGCAAAGCUCCAAGUGACUUUGCGCACGGUUUAUGUAAAGAUCUCACAAGGACACUACCCGCCUAUUGGUGGGCCUGCUCAACAUGGUAGAACAGUUACAUGGUGUUAAAGAUAUUCUGUAGAGUUGAGACGAAGCCAACAUUAAUAUUAAUUUUCAUUUUCUACCGUUUUCUUUGAUGAUACGUCAACCUGGAUGGUCUCCAAAAUCUACACGAAAGAAACUUCACAAUCAGAUUCUAUGACUGCACCAGAUCGUUCCAAAUUUGCGGGAGAUAAACCACUUAUCUGAUUCAUUUCAGAGUUGUCUAUAAACUAGGUAAUGCUCUAAAGGGAGGGCCGGUCUUCACAAUUCCGUCACCCAGAAUAAAAAGAGGUGGGGGAGGGAUGUAAAGCUCAGUGUCACGUAAUAGUAUGUACACUGGACUACGACUUCUUUCUUCUCUUCAAGGCUCAAAGGCUAAUUUUCAUGUAUUAUUCUUGUAUUAUUCCUUGUCUCCUAAAACAUAGAGCUUUCUAAUUAACAGAGGCUAUGCCCUACCUCUCGUUCGAUGAAAAAAUUGUGUCUAUUAAGCUCAUUUGAUUUUCAUUUUAGUGAAAAUGGGGGGACGGUGUCAAGGAAAAUGUUACGUGGUUAAUUUGGGGUUUUUUAGACCAGUGUGACUAUGGCGUUACAAGCGGGCGUCAAAAAAUCGGAAAAAUCGGUUACGUAAUUUAUGGACAACCCCAUAACGACUUACAUCUUACGUGAAUUUUCGUCCUAAUUGCUCUCACUGCCUGUUUCGUCUCUGCCCGCACGCAGUGCGGCGAUUUCGGCCCGACGGUGAGAGCAAUAGCUAUUAUUUGAUUAUUUUCUUAAUUGUGGUAUAGGUACGACUCUGGCGAGAGACACAACAAUCCUCAUGGUAAGUUCCUACAUUUGCUUGAGGUGCAGCCUUAAUUUAAUAAAAAUUCCUGCUUCGAGCCAAGUGAGUGAAUGUUCUAUGUUACACUGACAUUUUCUUACCUAGUCGCUUUUACCGCCUGUUUCGUCUCUGCCCGCACGCAGUGCGACGAUUUCGGCCCAGCGGUAACAGCAAUACUAAGUAGGGUCAGUUGGGGUAAUUCCGUCACGGGGUAAUUCCGGAUGUGCAUCAUGGAGGUCGUAAAAUUGAGGUUAGGGAAUUUUCGCGCUAGUAUGUUGUUGCCAACGUUCAGUUGGUCACCCUGAGUGAUUUGGUUCUCAUUUCUUGUUUUUUUACGCGUGAUAAGGAGAUCGGUCGUAAAGGUGCGAAAAAAAAAGCAAAUCGCCAAACUCGGAACGUCUCUGCAAAGUGUUACAGCUUCUAAAAUGCCAAGGAAUUACAAAAAAAAGAAGCUGAGUGAGCCUCUCUAUACGCAAUGUGAUCUGGCCAGUGCCGUUCGUGAUGUAUCCAAUCAAAAUCUUACCAUUGUUGCCGCGGCACAAUUUUCUAACAUU
Non-coding RNA from Bemisia tabaci, 1640 nucleotides. Lineage: Eukaryota; Metazoa; Arthropoda; Insecta; Hemiptera; Aleyrodidae. The record is from RefSeq and is a predicted model, not a curated record.